This 266-nucleotide ribosomal RNA is filed under the name uncultured archaeon. RNAcentral describes it as "partial 16S ribosomal RNA". It matches the Rfam family "Archaeal small subunit ribosomal RNA", at positions 715 to 982 of the family's 1478-position model. The record is from RNAcentral.
AGUCACUGACUAUUAGACUACCCUGUACGUCCCAGCCGUAAACAAUGUGCGUUAGGUGUGUCGGUAACCACGCGUUACUGAUGCGCCGAAGAGAAAUCGUGAAACGCACCACCUGGGAAGUACGGUCGCAAGGCUGAAACUUAAAGGAAUUGGCGGGGAGCACCACAACAGGUGGAGCCUGCGGUUUAAUUGGAUUCAACGCCGGACAUCUCACCGGAUAAGACAGCUGAAUGAUUGUCAAUCUGAAGGUUUUACAUGACUAGCUG